This is a long non-coding RNA of Cydia pomonella (codling moth), 1155 nucleotides long. RefSeq lists it as uncharacterized. The transcript has 2 exons. Lineage: Eukaryota; Metazoa; Arthropoda; Insecta; Lepidoptera; Tortricidae. The record is from RefSeq and is a predicted model, not a curated record.
UAACACUUAAUGCCAAUAAAACAAAAUAUAUAUGUUUUUCCAUCACAAAUUCCACACAGCCAAAUUUUGACAUGAACCUUAAGAUCCACUCUUGCAAUCUGAAUGAUUCCACAACCUGCAGCUGCCCAAUCAUAGAAAAAGUUGCCCAAAUAAAAUAUCUGGGAAUAAUUCUUGACGAGCAUCUAAAUUGGUACUCUCACCUCGAGCAAGUUAUCGGUAGAGUCAGGAAAUUGGUUUGGAUUUUCAGGGCGCUAAGACAUAUUGUACCAGGUAGAGAUAACUUGAUCCCUUCUAAACCACGAAACAUUCUAAAUGAAAUUUACAUAUCCCUGGUACAGUCUGUAUUGGCGUACUGCAUAUCUGUCUGGGGUGGGCGCUAGUGAAGGUCAUGUAUUUCAAAAAAUUAAGAUACUCGACGGAGAAACUAUACCAGAUUAGCGACCUCUUAUCAGUCAGAAAACUCUAUAUUGUGCAGACUAUACUAAAGAAACACAAGACCCUUACCUACAAUCCUAACUACAACACAAAACGAACUAUAACGAAUGUAGCGAAAUCUUCUCAUAACAGAACCACCUUUGCGAAUUCACAACUCAAUGCAAAAUCCGCUCACAUAUAUAAUAAAAUCAAUAAAAUCCUAAACAUUUACCCUAAACAGUCCCAGGAAUGUAAGUCCACCGUAAUCAAAUGGCUCACAAAUAAAACAUAUGAGGAAACAGAGUGCCUAUUACGAUGAGUACCAUUACACACACACACACACACACACACACACACACACACACACACACACACACACACACACACACACACACACACACACACACACACACACACACACACACACACACGCAGUCAAGCUUACUGGAAAUUAAAUGAAAUUAAAUUAAAUUUAUUUAUUUUAAUAUAGUUCAUGUCGUUCUUUUAUCGUUCAUAAUUAAUGUAUAGCUUGUUAGUAGUAUAUUUUGUUUGUAAAUUGUAAAUAGUAUUUAUAGGUAGUAAAUUUUGUAAAUAGUACAGAUCUUAGUAUUAGUUAUUAAUUAAUCACUGAAGAGCGGUGUCUCCCAACACAGGCAAUAUUGCUUACCGGGAGACACCAUCCCCUAAAUUAUAUAAACUGUAUUUUAUGAAAUAAAGAAUUUUGUAUUUUUUGUAUUUUAU